UCUACAACGAUCUUCGGUCAUAGGGAGGCAUACUAAGCCGCGAGCAUGGGUAACCAUAAAAUUAAUGGCCUCUGGCGUAACGUGCUCAGCGGCCAUGAUG
This 100-nucleotide non-coding RNA is filed under the name Alteromonas australica. Lineage: Bacteria; Pseudomonadati; Pseudomonadota; Gammaproteobacteria; Alteromonadales; Alteromonadaceae. The record is from RNAcentral.